AACGAACGCUGGCGGCAGGUCUUAGGCAUGCAAGUCGAACGGGUGUAGCAAUACAUCAGUGGCGCACGAGUGAGUAACGCGUGGGAAUUUGCCCAUCGGUGGGGAAUAACGUUUGGAAACGAACGCUAAUACCGCAUACGUCGAGAAAUCGAGAAAGAUUUAUCGCCGAUGGAUAAGCCCGCGUUGGAUUAGCUUGUUGGUAGGGUAAUGGCCUACCAAGGCGAUGAUCCAUAGCUGGUCUGAGAGGACGAUCAGCCACGCUGGGACUGAGACACGGCCCAGACUCCUACGGGAGGCAGCAGCUAAGAAUAUUGGACAAUGGAGGAAACUCUGAUCCAGCCAUGCCGCGUGAGUGAAGAAGGCCUUCGGGUUGUAAAGCUCCUUUGGUCGUGAGGAUGAUGACGGUAGCGACAGAAAAAGCACCGGCUAACUUCGUGCCAGCCGCCGCGGUAA
Molecule: ribosomal RNA, 453 nt
Filed under: uncultured bacterium
Lineage: Bacteria
Description: partial 16S ribosomal RNA
Rfam family: Bacterial small subunit ribosomal RNA
Source: RNAcentral